This 414-nucleotide ribosomal RNA is filed under the name uncultured bacterium. RNAcentral's name for it is "bacterial SSU rRNA". It matches the Rfam family "Bacterial small subunit ribosomal RNA", at positions 29 to 433 of the family's 1533-position model. The record is from RNAcentral.
AAUGAACGCUGGCGGCGCGCCUAAUACAUGCAAGUCGAGCGAGAAGACGUAGCAAUACGUUUGUAAAGCGGCGAACGGGUGAGGAAUACAUGGGUAACCUACCCUCGAGUGGGGAAUAACUAGCCGAAAGGUUAGCUAAUACCGCGUACGCUCCUUGGACUUCGGUUCAGGGAGGAAAGCGAUACCGUGGGUAUCGCGCUCUUGGAUGGGCUCAUGUCCUAUCAGCUUGUUGGGAGGUAACGGCUCACCAAGGCUUCGACGGGUAGCUGGUCUGAGAGGACGAUCAGCCACACUGGCACUGCGACACGGGCCAGACUCCUACGGGAGGCAGCAGUAAGGAAUAUUGCGCAAUGGGCGAAAGCCUGACGCAGCGACGCCGCGUGGGGGAGUGAAGGUCUUCGGAUUGUAAACCCC